RNAcentral lists this ribosomal RNA (253 nucleotides) under uncultured bacterium. Its description in RNAcentral is "partial 16S ribosomal RNA". It matches the Rfam family "Bacterial small subunit ribosomal RNA", at positions 524 to 776 of the family's 1533-position model. The record is from RNAcentral.
UACGUAGGAUGCAAGCGUUGUCAGGAUUUAUUGGGUUUAAAGGGUGCAUAGGCGGUCUAUUAAGUUAGUGGUGAAAACGUUCGGCUUAACCGGAUACCCGCCAUUGAUACUGAUAGACUUGAGUGCGACAGAGGGUGUUGGAAUGUGUGGUGUAGCGGUGAAAUGCUUAGAUAUCACGCAGAACACCAAUUGCGAAGGCAGAUGCCUAUGUCGUAACUGACGCUGAGGCAAGAAAGCGUGGGGAGCAAACAGG